This 726-nucleotide ribosomal RNA is filed under the name uncultured bacterium. Its description in RNAcentral is "bacterial SSU rRNA". It matches the Rfam family "Bacterial small subunit ribosomal RNA", at positions 38 to 759 of the family's 1533-position model. The record is from RNAcentral.
GGCGGCAGGCCUAACACAUGCAAGUCGAGCGGUAGAGAGAAGCUUGCUUCUCUUGAGAGCGGCGGACGGGUGAGUAAUACCUAGGAAUCUGCCUGAUAGUGGGGGAUAACGUUCGGAAACGGACGCUAAUACCGCAUACGUCCUACGGGAGAAAGCAGGGGACCUUCGGGCCUUGCGCUAUCAGAUGAGCCUAGGUCGGAUUAGCUAGUUGGUGAGGUAAUGGCUCACCAAGGCUACGAUCCGUAACUGGUCUGAGAGGAUGAUCAGUCACACUGGAACUGAGACACGGUCCAGACUCCUACGGGAGGCAGCAGUGGGGAAUAUUGGACAAUGGGCGAAAGCCUGAUCCAGCCAUGCCGCGUGUGUGAAGAAGGUCUUCGGAUUGUAAAGCACUUUAAGUUGGGAGGAAGGGCAGUUACCUAAUACGUGAUUGUCUUGACGUUACCGACAGAAUAAGCACCGGCUAACUCUGUGCCAGCAGCCGCGGUAAUACAGAGGGUGCAAGCGUUAAUCGGAAUUACUGGGCGUAAAGCGCGCGUAGGUGGUUUGUUAAGUUGAAUGUGAAAUCCCCGGGCUCAACCUGGGAACUGCAUCCAAAACUGGCAAGCUAGAGUAUGGUAGAGGGUAGUGGAAUUUCCUGUGUAGCGGUGAAAUGCGUAGAUAUAGGAAGGAACACCAGUGGCGAAGGCGACUACCUGGACUGAUACUGACACUGAGGUGCGAAAG